RNAcentral lists this long non-coding RNA (3834 nucleotides) under Salmo salar (Atlantic salmon). Its description in RNAcentral is "lncRNA (ENSSSAG00000107779.1)". The record is from RNAcentral. Lineage: Eukaryota; Metazoa; Chordata; Actinopteri; Salmoniformes; Salmonidae.
AUCAUCGUUCCAUGGCUCUUGUUCGGUCAGAUCUCCCUCCAGAAGACUCAAAACACUUUGUAAAGGCUGGUGACAUCUAGUGGAAGCAAUAGGAAGUGCCAAAAUAUUCCUCAGCCCCUGUGUUUUUCAAUGGGAUAGGUUUAAAGGUAAUACAACACAUCAGGUAUCCACUUCCUGUCAGAAAAUGUCUCAGGGUUUUGCCUGCCAAAUGAGUUCUGUUAUACUCACAGACACCAUUCAAACAGUUUUAGAAACUUUAGAGUGUUUUCUAUCCAUAUAUAAUAAGUAUAUGCAUAUUCUAGUUACUGGGUAGGAUUAGUAACCAGAUUAAAUCGGGUACAUUUUUUUUAUCCAGACGUGCAAAUGCUGCCCCCUAGCCCUAACAGGUUAAUGCCUUCAACAUGUUGUUUAGAGCACAAUUACUCUAACAUCUAUCCUUUUUCAUAUGAUUCAGUAACCAAUAAAGCAAGUAGCUCCUAGACUUAACCCAUCUGCAUGUAUGUCUACAGUGGAAUCUAGUCUCUCUCUCUCUUUAGCUCCGCUUCCUCUGUUAUGGUGUUUUCAAGCUCACCCAUUACAUGGUGUUUUCAAGCUCACCCAUUACAUGGUGUUUUCAAGCUCACCCAUUACAUGGUGUUUUCAAGCUCACCCAUUACAUGGUGUUUUCAAGAUCACCCACUAUGCAGCUGGACCUUACUUCUUGUGAGAAUUAUGCACCCACCGAAGAGAGACAUGACAAUCUUUACCACUGCAGGUGCUGUAAGGAGUACCGUAUGUGUGGACCAGACCAAAUCUAUCCCAACACCCCCUCCUGGUGUAUCUGGAUGUUCACUCAAUCUCCAGAAGUCAGCCCAUGCCAUUGGUUAUCUCUGUUUUUACCUGAGGAUAUACACACAGCAACACAUGGGUUAUUUCCUGACAACAUCAUUUGUGAUAUUUGAAUAAACGCAUCCCCUGUCCUCCCAUCAAUCUCCCAGUUACCAGUUACCAAUCCAUUUGGCAUGAGUCUUCAUAAACUGAUAUCCCAACAAUGCUACUAAAGUGACCGCUGCUACUACUAAUAUGGUCCAUGCCUAUAAUCUCCUUCAAAUGCGAUCCCUUCGGCAACUGCCGUGAGAAUAACUACUGUCUGUAAUCUAUCAAGUGUUCGCCGGCUGUUAGAAAUUGGGAAAGAGAUUAAUGAGUUGGAAGAAUAUUCAACCUACAUAUCAUUCCAUCUAACCCAUAACACACUAGUCACUACUCCUAAUGCACUUUUACAGUUAUAAACAUACUAAUACAUUCUCAAAUCAUUAAGUCAAUUUACAUCAAUCCCUCCUCUGGAACAAUGAUCACUCUCAUGUUCCACAACACUUUAAAACACAUUGACUUAACAAGAAAAGAGAAAAAAUACAAAUAAAUAGUUGUUUAAUAACCUCCCACUACUCUUAAUGCAACUAAAACUGGGGGAAAAACGUCCAUCCGUUACGUUCUAUGUCCAUGUUAUGCUGGUCUUCAUGCCGUCUCCUUCAUCUCCAUCAUUGGGUGUUAUAACAAAACACAGACUAUAAACCUUAUAUGCAAUUACUUGUAUUCUAUCACCCAGACAUCUCUAUUCAUCAAUUCAAUGUAACAUUAAAAUUAUAAUGACAUAAUAAAACAAAAUAAACAAAAACCUUUAUGUUAACCCAAGCUAUCAUCCAGUAAGUUCUAACAAUUUAGAGAUAAAGUUUCCAGAGCUUCCCUAGGCCUAAUACAUUUAAACAGUGCCAAUAACCCUCACCUGUUCAAAAGCAACUCUCUCUUGCUUUAUCCAAAUCAUAACUAAAACAUUUUAUAAAUUAUCCAGCCCAAAUUCAGAAUAACAGUCUUUACUUUAACUCAAAUUCAAACUUCUCAAUUUAGCCCACAUCAUCCCUAUUAAAAUGUACAUUUAUAAAAUAAAAAAUCAACUUUUAGUACAAGUAAUAACUAUUCUCAUUACAGCCCCCUUUGUUCUUGUUUUCCUGUCAUGAGUGGCCUGGUAAUGAAAGAUCAGUAACUCAAUGCAUACUUUAGUCCAAACUGUUGGAAGUGUGUAGACUCAGAAGUGCUAAAAGUCACUGUCGUAUUGCACGCCCUUGUCGCUCUUUCUCCAGCCGGUUAGGGAGGGCUUUGAGGUAUACACACACUGUUUGUGGUCAAAUUAUUCCUACCAUGCAUUAAGACACAAUCUGACGUCACCUUCCAUGAUAACUCCUUUAUUCUACUGGUGACCUCUCAGAUGGCGGAUAAUUGGUCAUACAUCCCCGGUUUCAUUCAUGAAUCUCUGUUGCAUUAACCCAAUGAUGUCAUUAAUCCAAUCCACAUUUUUAUUUAUUGUCAACUACCAAAAGAACGUUGUGGUAAAGUCUUCACCUAUUUGAUUCAUAGCUUUGUAUUCAUCUGGAACUUCCCUGAGGAUGCCAAUAGCAUCCAUCUAGACAAAGCUACUCCCAUCCUGGUCAAAACUCCUCCUGUGCCUACUUUAGCCACCUAUAACUGGCCUCUGAUAACUAACUCGAACUGGUUGGACCAAUAACCCCAGGGGGCAAGUUCCUAACCACCCUUUGUGGUAAUUUCUGUUGUAUGCGUCCUUUGCUGGUACUAGCCCACCCUACAUCAGUUAUAGGUGCUGUGAGGUUAAGAAUUUUCUCCUGUACUUUCAAACCUAAGUCAGUCACAUUAACGAUUACCUUUCAGCCAUUAAAAUCAUCUAAGUUCUCUGUGCCAUUCUUGUAUCUAUAACACUGGUACUCAUCAGGAGUUAAGGUGAACCGAGGUGGGUUGGCUGAGUACUUCAAUCUGGCCAACCCCAAUUCCUGUACAGUUGUCUGCUUCCCCAGGAAAUUGUUAAAUGUUUGCCUUAAACCUACAUCCUGAUCUUCCUUGAUUCCUCAUUCUGUACAUCACUCAUCAGUGUAUUAUAUAGUUUAUCUUUUCAUUCUUAUAAAUGACAACAGUGUCGUAUGAUUAGUACCGGAAGGUGGUGGAUCUGAAUGUAUCAGAAAGAUUACCAAGACUAUGAUGCAGCUCAGAGUCUCUACUCUUCCCAAAAACCGCCAACUCUCUCCUGCCCUUAGUCGAUCUGCCAGGUACCACCCCAUACUCACACCUCUCGGAGCACACACAGUGAUGAACGGUCGGGAUAGGUAAUCUUCGUUGAGGAGGUAACCCCCGGACCCGGUUGGUACCCGGUUCUUCUCCUAACUCUGUGUGUGAUCAACAGUGCUCAUAUGUGUACAUACCUUCUUGCAGUGGAUAAUGUGGACCCAAGUGACUCUCUCAGUUUUUCUAAUGGCAAAGGCAGAACCUGGUAUGGGCCUGCCCAACGGGGCUGCAUCCAGUCUUUUCUCCUCAGGGAAUGGAUCCACACCCAGUCUCCUGGUUGGAUUGAGUGAAUCACCUUCUCCUGUAAUUCACCUGUUGGACACAAAAUCUUGGACAUACGGGUUUGGUUAACAAACAGUCUUCUCAUGUGCUCUGCUAGUAUUUCUUCAACUUCUAUGUUUACCUGUUCUGGUAUCUCUAACUCUGGCAUUCUAUUUGUUCAACCCGAUUAGCUAAAAUGUCAUCCAUCAUUUAAAGAGAUAGAUCCUAGUAAACCAACUCUAGGGAUAAUAUCUUGACCUCAUAUUUUAGUUACCAUAAUCAUGUCCACCAAGUAAGUUGGGAACACUUCUACCCAUUUGCUAUACUUAUCUAUUAUUGUUAAACACCCCUUCUUCCCCUCUCUUCGGAGUAGUUCAAUAAGGUCCAUUUCCAAAUGUUGGAGUGGAUAUUCUACCCCCAAUUUUUUUAAAGUAAUUAUCCUCUAUGCCAUUAAGUAGUUCUCCA